Molecule: non-coding RNA, 1218 nt
Organism: Megalopta genalis
Lineage: Eukaryota; Metazoa; Arthropoda; Insecta; Hymenoptera; Halictidae
Source: RefSeq, a predicted model, not a curated record
UGCACCAGAUAACAACUGCUCCCCCUAAGUAUCUUCGUCUCCGUAAUCAUCCACGCUUAUUACAGGAAAGAGCCGGGCCGUGGUUAUUACCGUCCGCACAAAGGAAGAAGAGCCGAGCUUCCCUUUUUGCGAAGUCUCGCCGCAAAAUUAAAGCUCGGCCCGCCAUAUCCCCGCUACCGACAGCGAGUCAAGAGGAGAGGCCAGAGAUGAAGAGGCCGGAAGAAAGGAGCCAAGGAGGAGGCGGGACCUGCUAAGGGUCGUUUCUGCCGAACCGGUGAGAACCGCCCUCGAAGUUUCGGGGCUGAAACUUUCUUGUUCGACGGCCACGGAAAAAGGACGCUCGGGGUGCCGGUGGUCUCGCUGUUCUCUCAUCUUGGUCCAACUCGUUCCACGGACGAAAAUACCGGCGAAAACAAUGGAACGGAAGCGGCGCGGGGCGGGUAAGGCCGGACGCGUUUCCCGAUGCGUCAUGCGGUACAGCUAAGUGAAAAAAAGAAGAAGAGGACCAAAACAAGGCAUCGCGAUUCCGAUUGGCAAAAAGCCGAGUCCCGCGGAAUCACUGCUCGUCAGCGUGUCGAGGAUGCUCGAGAUUCUUCGGCGAAGUUUUUACGCGUGGACGCGCAUAAAAAUGGACGACGGGCGAGCUCUCUUUCCUUCACGGUGACGUUAAAGGGGAUGCGCGAGGCAAGGGGUUGCAAUCCCGGCGUGUUCCCAUGACGUUUUCUUGGAGGUCGAACCUUUGAAAGACUUCCGCUCGCUGCACAGCGCAACUGAAUCCAAGAAAUGUUCGAACGUCCAUGCGUAUUUGCGGAAUAUAAAAUUAGUAGACGAGAAUUCUACAAAUCUUUGGAUGUUAGUCGCUGUAUAUUCUGCUUCAGUAUUUUCUGUUUCGACGUUCUUGCAUUAACAUAUGCUGUUUCGCAAAUCGCACAAAAUGUUUGAUCGAGAUAAAUUUCUUCCUUCGCGCGUCUCUUUCGAUGUUUUUUCAAAUACGACUCCUCGUGUCACGGUAAAUCGUCGAUUUCGGUCAUUAUUCCACGAGGUAAUUGAUUGUAAAUGCUUUAAGUGAGUAUAUUAAAAUAGAACGUGCGAGAACUAUAUACCGUUCAAUUUCAGGAAAAUGUGUAUACUUCUUUGAAUUCAUCCUUUUUGAAAUCCUUUCUCGAUGUAUGGAUUUCUCUGAAAAAUGAUAGAUAAAGAGAUUGUAUAACGAUAUAA